This 524-nucleotide ribosomal RNA is filed under the name uncultured bacterium. RNAcentral describes it as "partial 16S ribosomal RNA". It matches the Rfam family "Bacterial small subunit ribosomal RNA", at positions 28 to 523 of the family's 1533-position model. The record is from RNAcentral.
GACGAACGCUGGCGGCGUGCCUAAUACAUGCAAGUCGAGCGCAGGAAGCUCACGGAACUCUUCGGAGGGAAGUGAAGGGAAUGAGCGGCGGACGGGUGAGUAACACGUAAGGAACCUGCCCCAAGGAUUGGGAUAACUCCGAGAAAUCGGAGCUAAUACCGAAUAGUUCUUCAGACCGCAUGGUCUGAUGAUGAAAGGCGCUCCGGCGUCACCUUGGGAUGGCCUUGCGGUGCAUUAGCUAGUUGGUGGGGUAACGGCCCACCAAGGCGACGAUGCAUAGCCGACCUGAGAGGGUGAUCGGCCACACUGGGACUGAGACACGGCCCAGACUCCUACGGGAGGCAGCAGUAGGGAAUCUUCCACAAUGGACGAAAGUCUGAUGGAGCAACGCCGCGUGAGUGAUGAAGGUUUUCGGAUCGUAAAACUCUGUUGUAAGGGAAGAACAAGUACGAGAGGAAAUGCUCGUACCUUGACGGUACCUUGCGAGAAAGCCACGGCUAACUACGUGCCAGCCGCCGCCGUAA